AUCCAUUUAUCGCUUCUCUGCCUUGAUCAAGUGUAGUAUCUGUUCUUAUCACUUUAAUAUCUGAUACGUUCUCUAUAUGAAGACUACAUAUUACAUUUAUUUAAUAUGUAAAUGUAAAGUUGUGGGCUGGAGGCGACCCUGU
Molecule: small nuclear RNA, 142 nt
Organism: Pygocentrus nattereri (red-bellied piranha)
Lineage: Eukaryota; Metazoa; Chordata; Actinopteri; Characiformes; Serrasalmidae
Gene: U2
Rfam family: U2 spliceosomal RNA
About the family: U2 is a small nuclear RNA (snRNA) component of the spliceosome (involved in pre-mRNA splicing). Complementary binding between U2 snRNA (in an area lying towards the 5' end but 3' to hairpin I) and the branchpoint sequence (BPS) of the intron results the bulging out of an unpaired adenosine, on the BPS, which initiates a nucleophilic attack at the intronic 5' splice site, thus starting the first of two transesterification reactions that mediate splicing.
Source: Ensembl